RNAcentral lists this ribosomal RNA (1023 nucleotides) under Vibrio parahaemolyticus. Its description in RNAcentral is "bacterial SSU rRNA". It matches the Rfam family "Bacterial small subunit ribosomal RNA", at positions 68 to 1087 of the family's 1533-position model. Lineage: Bacteria; Pseudomonadati; Pseudomonadota; Gammaproteobacteria; Vibrionales; Vibrionaceae. The record is from RNAcentral.
GGACCCGGAAAGUUUUAACGGCGUCGAGCGGCGGACGGGUGAGUAAUGCCUAGGAAAUUGCCCUGAUGUGGGGGAUAACCAUUGGAAACGAUGGCUAAUACCGCAUGAUGCCUACGGGCCAAAGAGGGGGACCUUCGGGCCUCUCGCGUCAGGAUAUGCCUAGGUGGGAUUAGCUAGUUGGUGAGGUAAGGGCUCACCAAGGCGACGAUCCCUAGCUGGUCUGAGAGGAUGAUCAGCCACACUGGAACUGAGACACGGUCCAGACUCCUACGGGAGGCAGCAGUGGGGAAUAUUGCACAAUGGGCGCAAGCCUGAUGCAGCCAUGCCGCGUGUGUGAAGAAGGCCUUCGGGUUGUAAAGCACUUUCAGUCGUGAGGAAGGCGGUGUAGUUAAUAGCUGCAUCAUUUGACGUUAGCGACAGAAGAAGCACCGGCUAACUCCGUGCCAGCAGCCGCGGUAAUACGGAGGGUGCGAGCGUUAAUCGGAAUUACUGGGCGUAAAGCGCAUGCAGGUGGUUUGUUAAGUCAGAUGUGAAAGCCCGGGGCUCAACCUCGGAAUUGCAUUUGAAACUGGCAGACUAGAGUACUGUAGAGGGGGGUAGAAUUUCAGGUGUAGCGGUGAAAUGCGUAGAGAUCUGAAGGAAUACCGGUGGCGAAGGCGGCCCCCUGGACAGAUACUGACACUCAGAUGCGAAAGCGUGGGGAGCAAACAAGAUUAGAUACCCUGGUAGUCCACGCCGUAAACGAUGUCUACUUGGAGGUUGUGGCCUUGAGCCGUCGCUUUCGUAGCUAACGCGUUAAGUAGACCGCCUGGGGAGUACGGUCGCAAGAUUAAAACUCAAAUGAAUUGACGGGGGCCCGCACAAGCGGUGGAGCAUGUGGUUUAAUUCGAUGCAACGCCAAGAACCUUACCUACUCUUGACAUCCAAAGAACUUUCCAGAGAUGGAUUGGUGCCUUCGGGAACUCUGAGACAGGUGCUGCAUGGCUGUCGUCAGCUCGUGUUGUGAAAUGUUGGGUUAAGACU